This is a long non-coding RNA of Arabidopsis thaliana (thale cress), 421 nucleotides long. RefSeq annotates it as other RNA. The record is from RefSeq. Lineage: Eukaryota; Viridiplantae; Streptophyta; Magnoliopsida; Brassicales; Brassicaceae. The transcript has a single exon.
AUCUAUCUGAGUCUUCUAAUCUUUUUUUUUACCUGAAACAAGCUCUUGCAUCAGAUUUGUUAUCUAUUCCAAAAGUGUAUUCGAGAGGGAAAAAAAAGAAAAGACACACUAUUGGUAAAGUGGCUAAGGUGCAGAGAGAAAGGCAAGUUGUUAAUAUGGUGCGGGUUUGUCCACACACGCUGACAUGGACCGCAACUUCUAAGAUGCUAUCCACGCACUUCGUCGGACCCAUUACUAAAUCCAACGGCUGAGAUUCGAUGGACUUUUUCUUCGUCGAGAAUUAUCAGAGAAGGCACGCGCAUGAGCAAACGUGGGACCUGAAUUUCACCGGCCACAUCAACCCGUAAUAACCGUUCAUUAGUCGACUCAGUCAACUUAAAUUACGACACUUGUCAACAUCUCAGUCUUUGAUAUGUCUCCU